This 253-nucleotide ribosomal RNA is filed under the name uncultured bacterium. RNAcentral's name for it is "partial 16S ribosomal RNA". It matches the Rfam family "Bacterial small subunit ribosomal RNA", at positions 524 to 776 of the family's 1533-position model. The record is from RNAcentral.
UACGAAGGGUGCAAACGUUGCUCAGAAUUAUUGGGCGUAAAGCGCACGUAGGCGGCUUAGCAAGUCGGAUGUGAAAUCCCUCGGCUCAACCAAGGAAGUGCAUCCGAAACUGCUGAGCUUGAGUACUUAAGAGGAUCGCGGAAUUCCCGGUGUAGUGGUGGAAUGCGUAGAGAUCGGGAGGAACACCGGUGGCGGAGGCGGCUCGCUGGGCCGGUCCUGACGCUCGGGCGCGAAAGCGUGGGGAGCGAUCCGG